GGGUUGUGAGGUUAAGCGACUAAGCGUACACGGUGGAUGCCCUGGCAGUCAGAGGCGAUGAAGGACGUGCUAAUCUGCGAUAAGCGUCGGUAAGGUGAUAUGAACCGUUAUAACCGGCGAUUUCCGAAUGGGGAAACCCAGUGUGAUUCGUCACACUAUCAUUAACUGAAUCCAUAGGUUAAUGAGGCGAACCGGGGGAACUGAAACAUCUAAGUACCCCGAGGAAAAGAAAUCAACCGAGAUUCCCCCAGUAGCGGCGAGCGAACGGGGAGGAGCCCAGAGCCUGAAUCAGUGUGUGUGUUAGUGGAAGCGUCUGGAAAGGCGCGCGAUACAGGGUGACAGCCCCGUACACAAAAAUGCACAUGCUGUGAGCUCGAUGAGUAGGGCGGGACACGUGGUAUCCUGUCUGAAUAUGGGGGGACCAUCCUCCAAGGCUAAAUACUCCUGACUGACCGAUAGUGAACCAGUACCGUGAGGGAAAGGCGAAAAGAACCCCGGCGAGGGGAGUGAAAAAGAACCUGAAACCGUGUACGUACAAGCAGUGGGAGCACAGAGCAAUCUGUGUGACUGCGUACCUUUUGUAUAAUGGGUCAGCGACUUAUAUUCUGUAGCAAGGUUAACCGAAUAGGGGAGCCGAAGGGAAACCGAGUCUUAACUGGGCGUUAAGUUGCAGGGUAUAGACCCGAAACCCGGUGAUCUAGCCAUGGGCAGGUUGAAGGUUGGGUAACACUAACUGGAGGACCGAACCGACUAAUGUUGAAAAAUUAGCGGAUGACUUGUGGCUGGGGGUGAAAGGCCAAUCAAACCGGGAGAUAGCUGGUUCUCCCCGAAAGCUAUUUAGGUAGCGCCUCGUGAAUUCAUCUCCGGGGGUAGAGCACUGUUUCGGCAAGGGGGUCAUCCCGACUUACCAACCCGAUGCAAACUGCGAAUACCGGAGAAUGUUAUCACGGGAGACACACGGCGGGUGCUAACGUCCGUCGUGAAGAGGGAAACAACCCAGACCGCCAGCUAAGGUCCCAAAGUCAUGGUUAAGUGGGAAACGAUGUGGGAAGGCCCAGACAGCCAGGAUGUUGGCUUAGAAGCAGCCAUCAUUUAAAGAAAGCGUAAUAGCUCACUGGUCGAGUCGGCCUGCGCGGAAGAUGUAACGGGGCUAAACCAUGCACCGAAGCUGCGGCAGCGACGCUGAUGCGUUGUUGGGUAGGGGAGCGUUCUGUAAGCCUGUGAAGGUGUGCUGUGAGGCAUGCUGGAGGUAUCAGAAGUGCGAAUGCUGACAUAAGUAACGAUAAAGCGGGUGAAAAGCCCGCUCGCCGGAAGACCAAGGGUUCCUGUCCAACGUUAAUCGGGGCAGGGUGAGUCGACCCCUAAGGCGAGGCCGAAAGGCGUAGUCGAUGGGAAACAGGUUAAUAUUCCUGUACUUGGUGUUACUGCGAAGGGGGGACGGAGAAGGCUAUGUUGGCCGGGCGACGGUUGUCCCGGUUUAAGCGUGUAGGCUGGUUUUCCAGGCAAAUCCGGAAAACUAAGGCUGAGGCGUGAUGACGAGGCACUACGGUGCUGAAGCAACAAAUGCCCUGCUUCCAGGAAAAGCCUCUAAGCAUCAGGUAACAUCAAAUCGUACCCCAAACCGACACAGGUGGUCAGGUAGAGAAUACCAAGGCGCUUGAGAGAACUCGGGUGAAGGAACUAGGCAAAAUGGUGCCGUAACUUCGGGAGAAGGCACGCUGAUAUGUAGGUGAAGUCCCUCGCGGAUGGAGCUGAAAUCAGUCGAAGAUACCAGCUGGCUGCAACUGUUUAUUAAAAACACAGCACUGUGCAAACACGAAAGUGGACGUAUACGGUGUGACGCCUGCCCGGUGCCGGAAGGUUAAUUGAUGGGGUCAGCGCAAGCGAAGCUCUUGAUCGAAGCCCCGGUAAACGGCGGCCGUAACUAUAACGGUCCUAAGGUAGCGAAAUUCCUUGUCGGGUAAGUUCCGACCUGCACGAAUGGCGUAAUGAUGGCCAGGCUGUCUCCACCCGAGACUCAGUGAAAUUGAACUCGCUGUGAAGAUGCAGUGUACCCGCGGCAAGACGGAAAGACCCCGUGAACCUUUACUAUAGCUUGACACUGAACAUUGAGCCUUGAUGUGUAGGAUAGGUGGGAGGCUUUGAAGUGUGGACGCCAGUCUGCAUGGAGCCGACCUUGAAAUACCACCCUUUAAUGUUUGAUGUUCUAACGUUGACCCGUAAUCCGGGUUGCGGACAGUGUCUGGUGGGUAGUUUGACUGGGGCGGUCUCCUCCUAAAGAGUAACGGAGGAGCACGAAGGUUGGCUAAUCCUGGUCGGACAUCAGGAGGUUAGUGCAAUGGCAUAAGCCAGCUUGACUGCGAGCGUGACGGCGCGAGCAGGUGCGAAAGCAGGUCAUAGUGAUCCGGUGGUUCUGAAUGGAAGGGCCAUCGCUCAACGGAUAAAAGGUACUCCGGGGAUAACAGGCUGAUACCGCCCAAGAGUUCAUAUCGACGGCGGUGUUUGGCACCUCGAUGUCGGCUCAUCACAUCCUGGGGCUGAAGUAGGUCCCAAGGGUAUGGCUGUUCGCCAUUUAAAGUGGUACGCGAGCUGGGUUUAGAACGUCGUGAGACAGUUCGGUCCCUAUCUGCCGUGGGCGCUGGAGAACUGAGGGGGGCUGCUCCUAGUACGAGAGGACCGGAGUGGACGCAUCACUGGUGUUCGGGUUGUCAUGCCAAUGGCACUGCCCGGUAGCUAAAUGCGGAAGAGAUAAGUGCUGAAAGCAUCUAAGCACGAAACUUGCCCCGAGAUGAGUUCUCCCUGACUCCUUGAGAGUCCUGAAGGAACGUUGAAGACGACGACGUUGAUAGGCCGGGUGUGUAAGCGCAGCGAUGCGUUGAGCUAACCGGUACUAAUGAACCGUGAGGCUUAACCUUACAA
RNAcentral lists this ribosomal RNA (2919 nucleotides) under Escherichia coli. RNAcentral's name for it is "bacterial LSU rRNA". It matches the Rfam family "Bacterial large subunit ribosomal RNA". Lineage: Bacteria; Pseudomonadati; Pseudomonadota; Gammaproteobacteria; Enterobacterales; Enterobacteriaceae. The record is from RNAcentral.